GGCGAACGGGUGAGUAAUGCAUCGGAACGUGUCCCGUAGUGGGGGAUAACCCAGCGAAAGCUGGGCUAAUACCGCAUAUGCUCUACGGAGGAAAGUGGGGGACCGCAAGGCCUCACGCUAUGGGAGCGGCCGAUGUCCGAUUAGCUUGUUGGUGGGGUAAUGGCCUACCAAGGCGACGAUCGGUAGCUGGUCUGAGAGGAUGAUCAGCCACACUGGGACUGAGACACGGCCCAGACUCCUACGGGAGGCAGCAGUGGGGAAUUUUGGACAAUGGGGGCAACCCUGAUCCAGCCAUGCCGCGUGAGUGAAGAAGGCCUUCGGGUUGUAAAGCUCUUUUGGUCGGGAAGAAAAGGUCUCCUCUAAUACAGGGGGCUGUUGACGGUACCGGCAGAAUAAGCACCGGCUAACUACGUGCCAGCAGCCGCGGUAAUACGUAGGGUGCGAGCGUUAAUCGGAAUUACUGGGCGUAAAGCGUGCGCAGGCGGUUGGUUAAGUCUGAUGUGAAAGCCCCGGGCUCAACCUGGGAAUGGCAUUGGAAACUGGCCAGCUGGAGUAUGGCA
RNAcentral lists this ribosomal RNA (560 nucleotides) under uncultured beta proteobacterium. RNAcentral's name for it is "bacterial SSU rRNA". It matches the Rfam family "Bacterial small subunit ribosomal RNA", at positions 97 to 653 of the family's 1533-position model. The record is from RNAcentral. Lineage: Bacteria; Pseudomonadati; Pseudomonadota; Betaproteobacteria.